This 1471-nucleotide ribosomal RNA is filed under the name uncultured bacterium. RNAcentral's name for it is "16S ribosomal RNA". It matches the Rfam family "Bacterial small subunit ribosomal RNA". The record is from RNAcentral.
CUGGCUCAGGACGAACGCUGGCGGCGUGCUUAACACAUGCAAGUCGAACGGAAAGGCCCUGCUUUUGUGGGGUGCUCGAGUGGCGAACGGGUGAGUAACACGUGAGUAACCUGCCCUUGACUUUGGGAUAACUUCAGGAAACUGGGGCUAAUACCGGAUAGGAGCUCCUGCUGCAUGGUGGGGGUUGGAAAGUUUCGGCGGUUGGGGAUGGACUCGCGGCUUAUCAGCUUGUUGGUGGGGUAGUGGCUUACCAAGGCUUUGACGGGUAGCCGGCCUGAGAGGGUGACCGGCCACAUUGGGACUGAGAUACGGCCCAGACUCCUACGGGAGGCAGCAGUGGGGAAUAUUGCACAAUGGGCGGAAGCCUGAUGCAGCAACGCCGCGUGCGGGAUGACGGCCUUCGGGUUGUAAACCGCUUUCGCCUGUGACGAAGCGUGAGUGACGGUAAUGGGUAAAGAAGCACCGGCUAACUACGUGCCAGCAGCCGCGGUGAUACGUAGGGUGCGAGCGUUGUCCGGAUUUAUUGGGCGUAAAGGGCUCGUAGGUGGUUGAUCGCGUCGGAAGUGUAAUCUUGGGGCUUAACCCUGAGCGUGCUUUCGAUACGGGUUGACUUGAGGAAGGUAGGGGAGAAUGGAAUUCCUGGUGGAGCGGUGGAAUGCGCAGAUAUCAGGAGGAACACCAGUGGCGAAGGCGGUUCUCUGGGCCUUUCCUGACGCUGAGGAGCGAAAGCGUGGGGAGCGAACAGGCUUAGAUACCCUGGUAGUCCACGCUGUAAACGGUGGGUACUAGGUGUGGGGUCCAUUCCACGGGUUCUGUGCCGUAGCUAACGCUUUAAGUACCCCGCCUGGGGAGUACGGCCGCAAGGCUAAAACUCAAAGGAAUUGACGGGGCCCCGCACAAGCGGCGGAGCAUGCGGAUUAAUUCGAUGCAACGCGUAGAACCUUACCUGGGUUUGACAUGGAUCGGGAGUGCUCAGAGAUGGGUGUGCCUCUUUUGGGGUCGGUUCACAGGUGGUGCAUGGCUGUCGUCAGCUCGUGUCGUGAGAUGUUGGGUUAAGUCCCGCAACGAGCGCAACCCUUGUUCACUGUUGCCAGCACGUUAUGGUGGGGACUCAGUGGAGACCGCCGGGGUCAACUCGGAGGAAGGUGGGGAUGACGUCAAGUCAUCAUGCCCCUUAUGUCCAGGGCUUCACGCAUGCUACAAUGGCUGGUACAGAGAGUGGCGAGCCUGUGAGGGUGAGCGAAUCUCGGAAAGCCGGUCUCAGUUCGGAUUGGGGUCUGCAACUCGACCUCAUGAAGUCGGAGUCGCUAGUAAUCGCAGAUCAGCAACGCUGCGGUGAAUACGUUCCCGGGGCUUGUACACACCGCCCGUCAAGUCAUGAAAGUUGGUAACACCCGAAGCCGGUGGCCUAACCGUUGUGGGGGAGCCGUCGAAGGUGGGACUGGUGAUUAGGACUAAGUCGUAACAAGGU